CAUGGGUAGACCUAUCUGGGGUUUGAUCCACGUCACUCCUGGUUUCAGGAGCACCCUUCAUAAUAAACCUAGAAAUUCAGUAUUAUAAAGUUUAAUAAAAAACAACUUUUAACAAUGGAUCUCUUGGUUCUCGCAUCGAUGAAGAACGUAGCAAAGUGCGAUAACUAGUGUGAAUUGCAUAUUCAGUGAAUCAUCGAGUCUUUGAACGCAGCUUGCACUCUAUGGUUUUUCUAUAGAGUACGCCUGCUAAGUAUCAUCACAAACCCACACAUAACAUUUGUUUAUGUGGUAAUGGGUCGCAUCGCUGUUUUAUUACAGUGAGCACCUAAAAUGUGUGUGAUUUUCUGUCUGGCUUGCUAGGCAGGAAUAUUACGCUGGUCUCAGGAUCUUUUUCUUUGGUUCGCCCAGGAAGUAAAGUACAAGAGUAUAAUCCAGCAACUUUCAAACUAUGAUCUGAAGUCAGGUGGGAUUACCCGCUGAACUUAAGCAUAUCAAUAAGCGGAGGAA
This 507-nucleotide ribosomal RNA is filed under the name Rhizopus sp. MS-14. RNAcentral's name for it is "eukaryotic LSU rRNA". The stretch from base 104 to 256 matches the Rfam family "5.8S ribosomal RNA". The record is from RNAcentral. Lineage: Eukaryota; Fungi; Mucoromycota; Mucoromycetes; Mucorales; Rhizopodaceae.